Molecule: ribosomal RNA, 470 nt
Filed under: uncultured bacterium
Lineage: Bacteria
Also listed under: 1 other name
Description: bacterial SSU rRNA
Rfam family: Bacterial small subunit ribosomal RNA
Source: RNAcentral
GACGAACGCUGGCGGCGUGCCUAACACAUGCAAGUCGAGCGGAAGUAGUUUGAUGGUAACUGAUAGCUGCUUUAGCGGCGGACGGGUGAGUAACACGUGGGCAACCUGCCUUGGAGUGGGGGAUAACACCGGGAAAUCGGUGCUAAUACCGCAUAACAUACAUUGACUGCAUGGUCGAUGUAUCAAAGGAGCAAUCCGCUUUAAGAUGGGCCCGCGGCUGAUUAGCUAGUUGGUAAGGUAACGGCUUACCAAGGCGACGAUCAGUAGCCGACCUGAGAGGGUGACCGGCCACACUGGAACUGAGACACGGUCCAGACUCCUACGGGAGGCAGCAGUGGGGAAUAUUGCGCAAUGGGGGGAACCCUGACGCAGCAACGCCGCGUGGAGGAAGAAGGUCUUCGGAUUGUAAACUCCUGUCUUCAGGGACGAUAAUGACGGUACCUGAGGAGGAAGCCACGGCUAACUACGUG